CUACGGGAGGCAGCAGUGAGGAAUAUUGCACAAUGGGGGGAACCCUGAUGCAGCAACGCCGCGUGGAGGAUGACGCAUUUCGGUGUGUAAACUCCUUUUAUAUGUCAAGAAAAUGACGGUAGCAUAUGAAUAAUCACCGGCUAACUCCGUGCCAGCAGCCGCGGUAAUACGGAGGGUGCAAGCGUUACUCGGAAUCACUGGGUGUAAAGGACGCGUAGGCGGGUUGGAAAGUCAGGUGUGAAAUCCUACAGCUUAACUGUAGAACUGCACUUGAAACUUCUAAUCUAGAGUAUGGGAGGGGGAGAUGGAAUUAGUGGUGUAGGGGUAAAAUCCGUAGAUAUCACUAGGAAUACCUAAAGCGAAGGCGAUCUCCUGGAACAUUACUGACGCUAAGGCGUGAAAGCGUGGGGAGCAAACAGGAUUAGAUACCCUUGUAGUC
Molecule: ribosomal RNA, 439 nt
Filed under: uncultured bacterium
Lineage: Bacteria
Description: partial 16S ribosomal RNA
Rfam family: Bacterial small subunit ribosomal RNA
Source: RNAcentral